ACCUAUCUACGACCAGUUAGAGGUGAGUAGUUUGUAUAGAUGAUGGCCUGAGGGUUUGAAAUCCCGGUUUAUCACAUCGUGAUGCUAUGUUAGGUGGUAACUCGCACCCCAUGGAAGGUGCGGGGUUGUAAAUCAUUAGAGAUUAUGACUUGGUCCAUCACGAGAGCUGAAUAUAAAUUAUUGGCAUCUAAUACGCACAUUGUAUUGUUGAUAAUUGGGCGUAAUGCCAUGUUUGGGGCCGUGUGCUGAUCUGUAGCACCUAUCUAGGGUGAAUAUCUAUGUGAUAACAUGAUUUGCAUAAUCGUAUCUCAGUCUUGUGCUUAACCACUGUCAUUAAAUGUUAUGUCACCUUAUUUCAAAAAUUGACUAAUUAAAUUAUAUUCACCUUAAUAAUUGGAAACUGGCUAAGAAUCAGAUUGAAUAUGUUAUAUGACUUACAUGCAUACUGUGGACUGAGGAUGGCUCGGGCUGCACGUCGCAACGGUUAUAUAUUGAUAUUGCGCUUGGGCUGAAGGAGCCCCACCGGAGUCUGUACACACUCACAGUGAGCGCCGUCGACAAUAAAUAAAUAUGGAUGGCUCGGGCUGCACGCCGCAUCAUAUUCAUG
Molecule: long non-coding RNA, 607 nt
Filed under: Nicotiana benthamiana
Lineage: Eukaryota; Viridiplantae; Streptophyta; Magnoliopsida; Solanales; Solanaceae
Description: long non-coding RNA (NBEN_LNC039688)
Source: RNAcentral